CAGAGGUCCCAAGCGUUGUUCGGAUUCACUGGGCGUAAAGGGUGCGUAGGUGGUCAGGUAAGUCGGAUGUGAAAUCUCCGAGCUCAACUCGGAAACUGCAUUGGAAAUUACCUGGCUCGAGGGUUGGAGGGGGGACUGGAACGCUUGGUGUAGCAGUGAAAUGCGUAGAUAUCAAGCGGAACACCAGUGGCGAAGGCGAGUCCCUGGACAACUCCUGACACUGAUGCACGAAAGCUGGGGGAGCAAACAGGAUUAGAUACCCUGGUAGUCCUAGCCGUAAACGGUGCACGUUUGCUGUAAAAGGAAUCGACCCCUUUUGUGGCGUAGCCAACGCGUUAAACGUGCCGCCUGGGAAGUACGGUCGCAAGAUUA
Molecule: ribosomal RNA, 372 nt
Filed under: uncultured organism
Description: bacterial SSU rRNA
Rfam family: Bacterial small subunit ribosomal RNA
Source: RNAcentral